RNAcentral lists this ribosomal RNA (254 nucleotides) under uncultured bacterium. Its description in RNAcentral is "partial 16S ribosomal RNA". It matches the Rfam family "Bacterial small subunit ribosomal RNA", at positions 524 to 776 of the family's 1533-position model. The record is from RNAcentral.
UACAGAGGGUGCGAGCGUUAUCCGGAAUCACUGGGCGUAAAGCGUCUGUAGGUGGUUCGAAAAGUCCACUGUUAAAAAUUGAGGCUUAACUUCAAAGAUGCCGUGGAAACUUUCAAACUAGAGUAUGGUAGGGGUAGAGGGAAUUUCCAGUGGAGCGGUGAAAUGCGUAGAUAUUGGAAAGACCACCGAUGGCGAAGGCACUCUACUGGGCCACUACUGACAGCUGAGAGACGAAAGCUAGGGGAGCAAAUGGG